AGAGUUUGAUCCUGGCUCAGAACGAACGCUGGCGGCAUGCCUAACACAUGCAAGUCGAACGAACUUUCUGACUUCGGUUGGGGAGUUAGUGGCGCACGGGUGCGUAACGCGUGGGAAUCUGCCCCUUGGUUCGGAAUAACAGUUAGAAAUGACUGCUAAUACCGGAUGAUGUCUUCGGACCAAAGAUUUAUCGCCAAGGGAUGAGCCCGCGUAGGAUUAGGUAGUUGGUGGGGUAAAGGCCUACCAAGCCGACGAUCCUUAGCUGGUCUGAGAGGAUGAUCAGCCACACUGGGACUGAGACACGGCCCAGACUCCUACGGGAGGCAGCAGUGGGGAAUAUUGGACAAUGGGGGAAACCCUGAUCCAGCAAUGCCGCGUGAGUGAUGAAGGCCUUAGGGUCGUAAAGCUCUUUUACCAGGGAUGAUAAUGACAGUACCUGGAGAAUAAGCUCCGGCUAACUCCGUGCCAGCAGCCGCGGUAAUACGGAGGGAGCUAGCGUUGUUCGGAAUUACUGGGCGUAAAGCGUGCGUAGGCGGUUAUUCAAGUCAGAGGUGAAAGCCCGGGGCUCAACCCCGGAACGGCCUUUGAAACUAGAUAACUAGAAUCUUGGA
This 611-nucleotide ribosomal RNA is filed under the name uncultured bacterium. RNAcentral describes it as "bacterial SSU rRNA". It matches the Rfam family "Bacterial small subunit ribosomal RNA", at positions 8 to 653 of the family's 1533-position model. The record is from RNAcentral.